Molecule: ribosomal RNA, 468 nt
Filed under: uncultured bacterium
Lineage: Bacteria
Description: partial 16S ribosomal RNA
Rfam family: Bacterial small subunit ribosomal RNA
Source: RNAcentral
GACGAACGCUGGCGGCGUGCUUAACACAUGCAAGUCAAACGGAAAGGCCCUGCUUUUGUGGGGUGCUCGAGUGGCGAACGGGUGAGUAACACGUGAGUAACCUGCCCUUGACUUUGGGAUAACUUCAGGAAACUGGGGCUAAUACCGGAUAGGAGCUCCUGCUGCAUGGUGGGGGUUGGAAAGUUUCGGCGGUUGGGGAUGGACUCGCGGCUUAUCAGCUUGUUGGUGGGGUAGUGGCUUACCAAGGCUUUGACGGGUAGCCGGCCUGAGAGGGUGACCGGCCACAUUGGGACUGAGAUACGGCCCAGACUCCUACGGGAGGCAGCAGUGGGGAAUAUUGCACAAUGGGCGGAAGCCUGAUGCAGCAACGCCGCGUGCGGGAUGACGGCCUUCGGGUUGUAAACCGCUUUCGCCUGUGUCGAAGCGUGAGUGACGGUAAUGGGUAAAGAAGCACCGGCUAACUACGUG